Molecule: microRNA precursor, 171 nt
Organism: Capsella rubella
Lineage: Eukaryota; Viridiplantae; Streptophyta; Magnoliopsida; Brassicales; Brassicaceae
Source: Rfam
AAAAGAAGAACAUAUAAGGAUAGCCAAGGAGACUGCCUGAUAUCUUUUUUAUAAGCAAAAUGGUCAUUACUUGAUAGAACUUAUAGUUUACUUGUCAAACAUGACCACACUAACCAUUUUACUCAAAGAAACAGGCAAGUCAUCCUUGGCUACCAAAUAUGAUUCUUCUAU